RNAcentral lists this ribosomal RNA (756 nucleotides) under uncultured bacterium. RNAcentral's name for it is "bacterial SSU rRNA". It matches the Rfam family "Bacterial small subunit ribosomal RNA", at positions 9 to 795 of the family's 1533-position model. The record is from RNAcentral.
GAGUUUGAUCCUGGCUCAGGGUGAACGCUGGCGGCGCGCUUAAUGCAUGCAAGUCGUACGUGCCUUCGGGCAAGUGGCAGACGGCUGAGUAACGCGUGAGUAACGUGCCCUUCGGUGGGGUAUAGCCUCGGGAAACUGAGAGUAAUCCCGCAUACGAUCCGGUGAUCUUGGUUGCCGGAUGAAAGCCUUCGGGCGCCGAGGGAGCGGCUCGCGUCCUAUCAGGUAGUUGGUGGGGUAAUGGCCCACCAAGCCGAUGACGGGUAGCUGGUCUUAGAGGACGAUCAGCCAGAGGGGGACUGAGACACGGCCCAGACUCCUACGGGAGGCAGCAGUGGGGAAUAUUGGACAAUGGGCGAAAGCCUGACCCAGCGACGUCGCGUGGGGGAUGAAGGCCUUAGGGCUGUAAACCCCUUUUCCCGGGGAAGAGAAAGGACGGUACCCGGGGAAGAAGCCCCGGCAAACUACGUGCCAGCAGCCGCGGUAAUACGUAGGGGGCAAGCGUUGUUCGGAAUUACUGGGCGUAAAGGGCGUGUAGGCGGUUCGGCAAGUCUCUUGUGAAAGCUCCCGGCUUAACUGGGAGAGGUCAAGGGAUACUAUUCGGCUCGAGGGCAGUAGAGGAAGGCGGAAUUCCCGGUGUAGCGGUGAUAUGCGUAGAUAUCGGGAGGAACACCAGUGGCGAAAGCGGCCUUCUGGGCUGUGCCUGACGCUGAGGCGCGAGAGCGUGGGGAGCAAACUGGAUUAGAUACCCUGGUAGUC